GCUUACGGCCAUACCACCCUGAACACGCCCGAUCUCGUCUGAUCUCGGAAGCUAAGCAGGGUCGGGCCUGGUCAGUACUUGGAUGGGAGACCGCCUGGGAAUACCAGGUGCUGUAGGCU
Molecule: ribosomal RNA, 119 nt
Filed under: Neolamprologus brichardi
Lineage: Eukaryota; Metazoa; Chordata; Actinopteri; Cichliformes; Cichlidae
Source: RNAcentral